RNAcentral lists this long non-coding RNA (617 nucleotides) under Homo sapiens (human). RNAcentral's name for it is "non-protein coding lnc-SCD5-2:2". The record is from RNAcentral. Lineage: Eukaryota; Metazoa; Chordata; Mammalia; Primates; Hominidae.
AGGAAGUGCUGUCCCCUCAGUGAUAUUUCUGAGCUUCAUUAGUUAAAUAGUAGAAAAACAAUCCAUGCAAACAAUUAGGGAAACAUUGUUAUUUUAAAUAUGAAGGGAUAAAAUUUUCUCUUAAAAAAGAACAGUAAGAAAAAAGUGAUGUUUAAGAGUUAAUUGGAUCUAACAACUUAAAUAAAUUCCCUCUGUCAAAAAACCAGUUACUUUCUUAAUUAGAAGACAUUUCACAUGACUUGAUUAAAAAGUGAGUUUUGUUCUCUUAUUAAAUUAAUUUACACUUUCUGGGGAUUAAUGAAGGGAGAAGAAACAAUUAUAAAAUGAGUAAAGUUUAGAAUGUCUUCAGUAAACACUGUUAAGUAAUUUUUACAUUUUGUCUACAGAAAACCAGUCUAUCCAAGACCAGGCACCUAUGUUGGAAGGUCCUCAGAAUGGUUGGAAUGACCCUCCAGCUUUGAACAGAGUACCCAAAAAGAAGAAGAUGCCUGAAAACUUCAUGCCUCCUGUUCCCAUCACAUCACCAAUCAUGAACCCGUUGGGUGACCCCCAGUCACAAAUGCUGCAGCAACAGCCUUCAGCUCCAGUACCACUGUCAAGCCAGUCUUCAUUCCCAC